This 253-nucleotide ribosomal RNA is filed under the name uncultured bacterium. RNAcentral's name for it is "partial 16S ribosomal RNA". It matches the Rfam family "Bacterial small subunit ribosomal RNA", at positions 524 to 776 of the family's 1533-position model. The record is from RNAcentral.
UACAGAGGGUGCGAGCGUUAAUCGGAAUUACUGGGCGUAAAGCGUGCGUAGGCGGUCCUGUAAGUCGGAUGUGAAAGCCCCGGGCUCAACCUGGGAAUUGCAUUCGAGACUGCAUGGCUUGGGUGCGGAAGAGGGGAGUGGAAUUUCCGGUGUAGCGGUGAAAUGCGUAGAUAUCGGAAGGAACACCAGUGGCGAAAGCGGCUCCCUGGACCGACACUGACGUUCAGGCACGAAAGCGUGGGGAGCAAACAGG